Molecule: ribosomal RNA, 606 nt
Filed under: Streptomyces humidus
Lineage: Bacteria; Bacillati; Actinomycetota; Actinomycetes; Kitasatosporales; Streptomycetaceae
Description: bacterial SSU rRNA
Rfam family: Bacterial small subunit ribosomal RNA
Source: RNAcentral
CCACUUCGGUGGGGAUUAGUGGCGAACGGGUGAGUAACACGUGGGCAAUCUGCCCUUCACUCUGGGACAAGCCCUGGAAACGGGGUCUAAUACCGGAUGAUACUUCCACUCGCAUGGGUGGGGGUUGAAAGCUCCGGCGGUGAAGGAUGAGCCCGCGGCCUAUCAGCUUGUUGGUGAGGUAGUGGCUCACCAAGGCGACGACGGGUAGCCGGCCUGAGAGGGCGACCGGCCACACUGGGACUGAGACACGGCCCAGACUCCUACGGGAGGCAGCAGUGGGGAAUAUUGCACAAUGGGCGAAAGCCUGAUGCAGCGACGCCGCGUGAGGGAUGACGGCCUUCGGGUUGUAAACCUCUUUCAGCAGGGAAGAAGCGAAAGUGACGGUACCUGCAGAAGAAGCGCCGGCUAACUACGUGCCAGCAGCCGCGGUAAUACGUAGGGCGCAAGCGUUGUCCGGAAUUAUUGGGCGUAAAGAGCUCGUAGGCGGUCUGUCGCGUCGGAUGUGAAAGCCCGGGGCUUAACCCCGGGUCUGCAUUCGAUACGGGCAGACUAGAGUGUGGUAGGGGAGAUCGGAAUUCCUGGUGUAGCGGUGAAAUGCGCAGAUAU